GAUGAACGCUGGCGGCGUGCCUAACACAUGCAAGUCGAACGAAGCGAUUUCUAGGAAGUUUUCGGAUGGAAUAGAGAUUGACUGAGUGGCGGACGGGUGAGUAACGCGUGGGUAACCUGCCUCACACUGGGGGACAACAGUUAGAAAUGACUGCUAAUACCGCAUAAGCGCACGGUACCGCAUGGUACAGUGUGAAAAACUCCGGUGGUGUGAGAUGGACCCGCGUCUGAUUAGAUAGUGUGGGUAACGCCUACCAAGUCAACGAUCAGUAGCCGACCUGAGAGGGUGACCGGCACAUUGGGACUGAGACACGGCCCAAACUCCUACGGGAGCAGCAGUGGGGAAUAUUGCACAAUGGGGGAAACCCUGAUGCAGCGACGCCGCGUGAGUGAAGAAGUA
RNAcentral lists this ribosomal RNA (399 nucleotides) under uncultured bacterium. Its description in RNAcentral is "bacterial SSU rRNA". It matches the Rfam family "Bacterial small subunit ribosomal RNA", at positions 28 to 415 of the family's 1533-position model. The record is from RNAcentral.